AUUGAACGCUGGCGGCAGGCCUAACACAUGCAAGUCGAGCGGAUGAAGGGAGCUUGCUCCUGGAUUCAGCGGCGGACGGGUGUGUAAUGCCUAGGAAUCUGCUUGGUAGUGGGGGAUAACGUCCGGAAACGGGCGCUAAUACUGCAUACGUCCUGAGGGUGAAAGUGGGGGAUCUUCGGACCUCACGCUAUCAGAUGAGCCUAGGUCGGAUUAGCUAGUUGGUGGGGUAAAGGCCUACCAAGGCGACGAUCCGUAACUGGUCUGAGAGGAUGAUCAGUCACACUGGAACUGAGACACGGUCCAGACUCCUACGGGAGGCAGCAGUGGGGAAUAUUGGACAAUGGGCGAAAGCCUGAUCCAGCCAUGCCGCGUGUGUGAAGAAGGUCUUCGGAUUGUAAAGCACUUUAAGUUGGGAGGAAGGGCAGUAAGUUAAUACCUUGCUGUUUUGACGUUACCAACAGAAUAAGCACCGGCUAACUUCGUG
Molecule: ribosomal RNA, 484 nt
Filed under: uncultured bacterium
Lineage: Bacteria
Description: partial 16S ribosomal RNA
Rfam family: Bacterial small subunit ribosomal RNA
Source: RNAcentral